GGCCAUAAUGAUUUCAUAAUAGAAACAAAUACAUAUGCAUAAUAUUCAUAUAGAACUGUUUGCGAGUAUUAGCUACAUAUAAUUAAAACUAAUUGUCUUAUUGUGCUAUAAUCUAGUACAUUACCACUAUUUUAUGUUAUCCUUUUUUAAUAUUGUUGCUGCCAAUCUCCCUACCUGAGGUCAGAUGCCGAGGUAGAUGUAGCUGAGGUGAAUCCACCACUGGGGCUUCGUCCGAGCACCUGCAAAAUAAGUCCACAUCAGGGGAGAUGACUCUGGUGUAGACCCU
RNAcentral lists this long non-coding RNA (286 nucleotides) under Elaeis guineensis (African oil palm). RNAcentral describes it as "long non-coding RNA (EGUI_LNC029803)". The record is from RNAcentral. Lineage: Eukaryota; Viridiplantae; Streptophyta; Magnoliopsida; Arecales; Arecaceae.